AGACGGACUAGGAUCGUUAUGGAAGUAUUGUGUCUGUGGAAAAGCUACCUAGCUCGCAGUAAUGCGAAGCAUGUCAAACAUGGCACGUAAGAGACUAUACGCCAUGCUCCGAAUUUAUUCGGAUGAAGAUUUAGUCCUUCGUAGAGGAAUAGAAGAGCGCAAUUCCUUGUCAGGUAAGUUCUGACGCGUUGAAUAGUGUAAUGACUGGAGAACUGUCUCGGAGACUUGCUCGGUGAAAAUACAGUACCGGUGAAGAUGCCGGUUACCUGCAGUUAGACGAAAAGACCCUAGAAGCUUUACUGUAAUUUGAUAUUGACCAUACGUUUUUGAUGCGUAGCGUAGUUGGGAGAAUUUGAAGUGUACCUUUCGGGGUAUGUGGAUUCGUCGAUGAAACACCAAUCUUUAAAAAUGUAUGUUCUAACCUCGAGGGCACGACCCUUGGGAGACAGUAUCUGAUGGACAGUUUUAGUGGGGCGCUAUCCUCCUAAACAGUAACGGAGGAGCCUAUUAAGGUCAGCUAGCCGUGAAUGGAAACCAUGGCGAUAGUGUAUGGGCACAAGCUGGCUUGACUGCAAGACGUACGUGUCGAGCAGAUGCGAAAGCAGAGCCAAGUGAACCGACCGUUCGCAUUAGAUGCGGCGGAAGAUUAUCGGACAAAAGCUACUCUAGGGAUAACAGGCUAGUUCCGCCUAAGAGUUCAUAUCGACGGCGGAGUUCGGCACCUCGAUGUCGGCUCACCACAUCCUGGGGGUGGAGAAGCUCCCAAGGGUUUGGCUGUUCGCCAAUUAAAGUGGUACGCGAGCUGGGUUCAGACCGUUGAGCAUUUAAUUAUGCAAAAAUGGUUUACCAUCGUGAGUUAUCUUUGUGUGAGAUUAAAGCACUCACACAGUAGAAAACGAAGGGAUUAGACUGCGAAUUAAAAAUUCAACAGUCUGAAUCACUUUGAGGAUAUUUUCGUUUAAUAAAUAUAAGAAGUCAUUUAAGCUUCUUUAUAGAAACAGUUAGGAAGUAGAUCAAUCAACCACGGCGGUCGCAUACAGUAAUGUGUGAUGAUCAAGUCGAUUAGUAUCGGUGGAAUCCUUUGAUAAGAGGACUAUACCGAGGGAAGUUUCAGAGUAAUCUGUUACACCCGUAGAGACUAAACAUCGACGUUCCCAAUUCAAUGUGAAUGGAAUAAGCUAUAGUCCAAUGCACUAAGUAAUUAGUGGUAACAUGCGUGAGACAGGUUGGUCUCCUAUCUACUGCAGGCGUUGAUACUUGAGGGGCUUUGACUCUAGUACGAGAGGACCGAGUUGAACGAACCUCUGGUCUACCUGCUGUCGUGCCAACGGCACCGCAGGGUAGCUAAGUUCGGACUGGAUAACCGCUGAAAGCAUAUAAGCGGGAAGCCAACCCCAAGAUUAGGUAUCGUUGAGACCCGUAAGAGAUGAUUACGUUGAUAGGCUUUAGGUGUACGCACCGUAAGGUGUUGAGCCAAGAAGUACUAAUCCGUCGAUCUUACUAGGAAA
Molecule: ribosomal RNA, 1508 nt
Filed under: bacterium
Lineage: Bacteria
Description: partial 23S ribosomal RNA
Rfam family: Bacterial large subunit ribosomal RNA
Source: RNAcentral